GACCCCCCAUGAGUUUCCCAGCUCAGAUCGGUGUGUCUUCUCCUCCAUGACGCCUUUGAUGGUGGGACCCAGAACUUGUUGAGUUAGUAACGGCCACAAUGACACACAGGAGUGAGAAGACCAUCUGCUGCAGAGACGCAAGAUCAAGUGCUACUUCCUGUCGGCAGGAGUCACCGUCCUGCUGGUCAUCAUUCUCGUCAUCGCCACCUCUAUCCGAAAGUGAGGCCACCUGCGGCACAGGCCAGGCCCUGGUGACCCAGCCAUGAACAUGGCUGAUGGAGACCCUCUUUUCCUGGAACUCCCAGCUGUAGAGGCAGGUGAACCUGAAGCUCCCUUUGUGAAUUCAGAAGUGGCUGGACGGGCGGUUCUGCUCAGGCUCCCUCCGGAGGUGCAGUCAGAUGUCGGCCAGGCUGCAGCAUUGGACGACCCAGCUGGGGCAGGAAGAGCCAGGUCUAAUCUUGCUCCUCCCGUGUGGGGCCAGAGCGGGAGACCCCUCGAGGCUGGCAGACCACACUCAGUCAUUUCUGCAAUAUCCCAUGCUAACUCGGGCCAACUCUGCUCACUGUGAGGGGCCACCCCACUGUGC
RNAcentral lists this long non-coding RNA (586 nucleotides) under Equus caballus (horse). Its description in RNAcentral is "lncRNA (ENSECAG00000044326.1)". Lineage: Eukaryota; Metazoa; Chordata; Mammalia; Perissodactyla; Equidae. The record is from RNAcentral.